GAUGAACGCUAGCGGCAGGCUUAAUACAUGCAAGUCGAGGGGCAGCAGGACUGUAGCAAUACCGUUGCUGGCGACCGGCAAACGGGUGCGGAACACAUACGCAACCUACCCAAAACUGGGGGAUAGCCCGGGGAAACCCGGAUUAAUACCUCGUAACCUUUUUAAGUGGCAUCACUUGAUAAGUAUAGCUCCGGCGGUUUUGGAUGGGCGUGCGCCUGAUUAGGUAGUUGGUGCGGGUAACGGCCCACCAAGCCUGCGAUCAGUAACUGGUGUGAGAGCACGACCAGUCACACGGGAACUGAGACACGGGCCCGACUCCUACGGGAGGCAGCAGUAAGGAAUAUUGGUCAAUGGACGCAAGUCUGAACCAGCCAUGCCGCGUGAAGGAUGAAGGUCCUCUGGAUUGUAAACUUCUUUUAUGGGGGACGAAACCCGGAUAUUCUUAUCCGAUUGACGGUACCUCAGGAAUAAGCACCGGCUAACUCCGUG
Molecule: ribosomal RNA, 489 nt
Filed under: uncultured bacterium
Lineage: Bacteria
Description: partial 16S ribosomal RNA
Rfam family: Bacterial small subunit ribosomal RNA
Source: RNAcentral